RNAcentral lists this ribosomal RNA (484 nucleotides) under uncultured bacterium. Its description in RNAcentral is "partial 16S ribosomal RNA". It matches the Rfam family "Bacterial small subunit ribosomal RNA", at positions 30 to 507 of the family's 1533-position model. The record is from RNAcentral.
AUUGAACGCUGGCGGCAGGCCUAACACAUGCAAGUCGAGCGGUUGAAGGGAGCUUGCUCCUGGAUUCAGCGGCGGACGGGUGAGUAAUGCCUAGGAAUCUGCCUGGUCGUGGGGGAUAACGUCCGGAAACGGGCGCUAAUACCGCAUCCGUCCUGCGGGAGAAAGUGGGGGAUCUUCGGACCUCACGCUAUCAGAUGAGCCUAGGUCGGAUUAGCUAGUUGGUGGGGUAAAGGCCUACCAAGGCGACGAUCCGUAACUGGUCUGAGAGGAUGAUCAGUCACACUGGAACUGAGACACGGUCCAGACUCCUACGGGAGGCAGCAGUGGGGAAUAUUGGACAAUGGGCGAAAGCCUGAUCCAGCCAUGCCGCGUGUGUGAAGAAGGUCUUCGGAUUGUAAAGCACUUUAAGUGGGGAGGAAGGGCAGUAAGUUAAUACCUUGCUGUUUUGACGUUACCAACAGAAUAAGCACCGGCUAACUUCGUG